GUGGAUGCCAAUGUUACUGUAAGUUUGUCACUUUAAUGUGAUCCUUCAUAUUCUGUUCUGUAAAGCUCUCUGCAUGCUUGGCCAUAAGCAUUUCAAUGUGUCAUCCGCUGAUGUGUUAACCACACCAGCAAUGCCUAUUGGCAUAUGCACAAGAUGGGAGUAGAAUAUGAGGAUACCCAAGAAAACCACAAGGUUGGGGUUCACCCAUUUUUAGUCAUAGCCAUCUCCUUCCGGGUCGGGUAAAAAAUUUACAUAAAAAUCAUAAUGUUGUUAAAUUCAUUGUUGCUAAUUAUAAAAUCGCAACUGCCUGGUUCUUUAGAUAACCAGGAGCAUGAUAUUAUAUGAAUAGUAUAAUCUUUGUGAUUUAAGAAACAUUUUAAUGUUCAAGCACUGUUCAUUCUUUUUGCAGAUUGAGCAUUA
Molecule: unclassified non-coding RNA, 420 nt
Filed under: Hevea brasiliensis (rubber tree)
Lineage: Eukaryota; Viridiplantae; Streptophyta; Magnoliopsida; Malpighiales; Euphorbiaceae
Source: RNAcentral